GAAGGUCCGGUGACCAGCCAAGGUUGGUGCCCCGGUUCCUGGGCUAACAAAAAGAAAGCAGGGUGUGGCGACCCGCGCCUUCAAUCACAGCAGAGGCAGGCAGAUCUCUGUGAAUUUGUAUCCUUUGAUUAGUAACAACAACAACAAAAUCUAAGUGAUCUGCUGUUUGUCCAAAUUGUAAAAAAGACUUAGGCGAGUUUUCACUAAUGGCUCUCUAUGUAAAAUAUAGGGACUGUAUUAGUUCUUUGUGGGGUCCAGUUUUCAGCCCUAAACGAAGCUUAACAAGUUAUUUCAUCGCUGUUGCUCAGAGUGGUGUCGGAUUACAGGGAUACCACCACCAAGGCUUUCAAAUUCUGUACUCUUAAUGCAGACCCCAACAGGGGGAAGGAGGUUGAUGUGGGCUUACCUCAUCAUUUACUGGAAAGAUGCCCGCCCUGGACACCUUUCCUCACAGUGCUGCUGUGUUAAGACCAUCCAGCCACCAAGUGAAUUCUGGCUCAUCCUUAAAAGUAGCAUCAGAUGUUAUCUGGCUGCUCCAAGAAAGGGGUCGAAGAGCUGUGAAUGUUCUCCAGACAUUUUCUCAUCCUUCUAAACAACCCAAGUCAAAAUAAAAAAUACUUGGAAGUUAA
Molecule: long non-coding RNA, 629 nt
Organism: Onychomys torridus (southern grasshopper mouse)
Lineage: Eukaryota; Metazoa; Chordata; Mammalia; Rodentia; Cricetidae
Exons: 3
Source: RefSeq, a predicted model, not a curated record